This 374-nucleotide ribosomal RNA is filed under the name uncultured organism. RNAcentral describes it as "partial 16S ribosomal RNA". It matches the Rfam family "Bacterial small subunit ribosomal RNA", at positions 527 to 896 of the family's 1533-position model. The record is from RNAcentral.
GUAGGUGGCAAGCGUUGUCCGGAAUUAUUGGGCGUAAAGCGCGCGCAGGCGGUUCUUUAAGUCUGAUGUGAAAGCCCACGGCUCAACCGUGGAGGGUCAUUGGAAACUGGAGAACUUGAGUACAGAAGAGGAAAGCGGAAUUCCACGUGUAGCGGUGAAAUGCGUAGAGAUGUGGAGGAACACCAGUGGCGAAGGCGGCUUUCUGGUCUGUAACUGACGCUGAGGCGCGUAAGCGUGGGGAGCAAACAGGAUUAGAUACCCUGGUAGUCCACGCCGUAAACGAUGAGUGCUAAGUGUUAGGGGGGUUUUCCGCCCCCCUUAGUGCUGCAGCUAACGCAUUAAGCACUCCGCCUGGGAGUACGGCCGCAAGGCUG